GACGAACGCUGGCGGCGUGCUUAACACAUGCAAGUCGAGCGGAGCGGCGAACGGGUGAGUAACGCGUUAGUAGCUGACCCCCUGCCUGGGAAAACAGGUGGAAACGGCUGCUAAUACCGGAUAGUGGGGGAUGACUCGGGUCCUAUCAGCUUGUUGGUGGGGUAGCGGCCUACCAAGGGGACGACGGGUAGCCGGCCUGAGAGGGCGACCGGCCACAUUGGGCUGAGAUACGGCCCAAACUCCGACGGGCGGCAGCGGUGGGGAAUAUUGCACAAUGGGGGAAACCCUGAUGCAGAAACGCCGCGUUCGGGAUGACGGCCUUCGGGUUGUAAACCGCUUUCAGCCAUGACGCGGUAGUGGCAGAAGAAGCACCGGCUAACUACGUGCCAGCCGCCGCGGUAAUUC
RNAcentral lists this ribosomal RNA (405 nucleotides) under uncultured bacterium. RNAcentral's name for it is "partial 16S ribosomal RNA". It matches the Rfam family "Bacterial small subunit ribosomal RNA", at positions 28 to 526 of the family's 1533-position model. The record is from RNAcentral.